AAGUUUGCCCCAUGCCUGACUCACUCUAGUAUGGACCACUUUUAAGAAUAUCUCCCAAAAACUGUUUGGGAAAAGUAAGUAUAUUAUUUAUUAUCUAACUGAACUAUUGUCACUAUUUUUAUUUUUACUAUGUUAUCGUAUAUAAUUAUGUUUUUAUUUUGGUGUAUUUUUGUCUUCUGAUGACGUGUAUUAAGUAUGUAUUUUAUUUCGUUCUAUUAUAAUUAUCCGAGCUUGGCCCCAUGUUAGCCGCCCCAAGUUCCUUUGGGGAUACAAAAAUAAAGUUAUUAUUAUUAUUAUUAUUAUUAAUUUUCCAUGCUUUCUUGCUUUCUGUCCCUUAUUAUUAACACGAAAAUAAUGGAACUAGUAUAGCUGUGGUUCAUUUCGGUGAUUUAUUUUCACUUAUCUAUACGUUGUAAAGUCACCUUUAAGUCAUGGGAGUUGUAGCAUUGCAAGGUCUUGAGCCUUUUCUGCCAAACUACGUUACGCCAUGGCCAUGAAAGUGUUAUCAAACUGGAUUAAUUGUACAAUGCGGAUGCAUUAAACGAACGCCAAGAGAGCUUCGGAAAAUACCGCCUGAUUCGAUUCCUCUCCUUAGUUUGAAUUUGCAAAAAAUUUGAAAGCUUUAGACUAUUUUAUUGUUUGCAUGCAAUGACAAAUAAGACAGGAAAUAAGGGUUUUAAUUUUAAUUAAUAAGUCAUUAUUAAAGCCACUUCUAAGCUGAAUACGGACAGAAAGAGUUAUGUCCAAUUUAUAAUUUCUUGGUUAGAAAAUGAUCAGAACACAUAGAGCAUUUCUCCCCAAAAAGCCAUCAGCAACACAUUAAAUUAAAACUACAGUAGAGUCUCACUUAUCCAACGUUCUGGAUUAUCCAACGCAUAUUUGUAGGCAAUGUUUUCAAUAUAUCGUGAUAUUUUGGUGCUAAAUUCAUAAAUACAGUAAUUACAACGUAACAUUACUGCGUAUUGAACUGUCAAAUUUGUUGUAUAACAUAAUGUUUUGGUGCUUAAUUUGUAAAAUCAUAACCUAAUUUAAUGUUUAAUAGGC
RNAcentral lists this long non-coding RNA (1044 nucleotides) under Anolis carolinensis (green anole). Its description in RNAcentral is "lncRNA (ENSACAG00000031849.2)". Lineage: Eukaryota; Metazoa; Chordata; Lepidosauria; Squamata; Anolidae. The record is from RNAcentral.